GUAGGUGGCAAGCGUUGUCCGGAAUUAUUGGGCGUAAAGCGCGCGCAGGUGGGUUCUUUAAGUCUGAUGUGAAAGCCCCCGGGCUCAACCGGGGAGGGUCAUUGGAAACUGGGGAACUUGAGUGCAGGAGAGGAAAGUGGAAUUCCACGUGUAGCGGUGAAAUGCGUAGAUAUGUGGAGGAACGCCAGUGGCGAAGGCGACUUUCUGGCCUGUAACUGACACUGAGGCGCGAAAGCGUGGGGAGCAAACAGGAUUAGAUACCCUGGUAGUCCACGCCGUAAACGAUGAGUGCUAAGUGUUGGGGGGUUUCCGCCCCUCAGUGCUGCAGCUAACGCAUUAAGCACUCCGCCUGGGGAGUACGGUCGCAAGACUG
Molecule: ribosomal RNA, 373 nt
Filed under: uncultured organism
Description: partial 16S ribosomal RNA
Rfam family: Bacterial small subunit ribosomal RNA
Source: RNAcentral